RNAcentral lists this long non-coding RNA (706 nucleotides) under Ictidomys tridecemlineatus (thirteen-lined ground squirrel). RNAcentral's name for it is "lncRNA (ENSSTOG00000030839.1)". Lineage: Eukaryota; Metazoa; Chordata; Mammalia; Rodentia; Sciuridae. The record is from RNAcentral.
GGUGGCGGCCUCCGGAUUCGUCCCGCCCCCCGUUCCUCCUGGCUGUCCCCGCCCCUCGCUCUGUUUUCCACCAGCUGCCAGUCCAGCGGGCCUGCCGCCUCCACCGCCCAGUCCUUGCUCAGGUGUCACUGUUGCUGGCAGGCCAGGAUUAGGAAAGGAGAAUGGGCAGGGGGUGGUGGCUGGGAGGAGAGGGGCUCUACCAUGCCACCCCCACCCCCCCCACUUGGCUUCCUACCCUGGAAUCCGCAUACACCCCCGCGCCUCCUUGGCACCCGCGCCUUGGCGACUGGGUUAAGCUGCAGUGUUAGAAGCCUCUCUCCAUAUUCCAAGAAGAUGAAUGUAACAGAUGCAGAGUGGAAGGGGAGCAAGAUGGAAAGUGACUAAGAGGUCAUGAAAGUACGCAAAGCUUUAGACAGUCUGUGGACCUUGGGAUGAGGAAGGAGAAAAAUUAAAGCAUGGAGUGUUCCACAUAGAAGGCAUCUCAGUAAAAACUCUGCCUUUUAUUGAAUGACUGGAGGAGUGAUGGCUAACUAAAAUGUAUUGGGAUAACAGAACAAGCACCCGUGCAUCUGUACCAAACAUAGGAAAUAAAACUAUUGCAAAUAUUAUCCGAGCCUCUUGUGAACUCUCUCUCAUUGCAUUCCCCUGAAGUUGGCAUCACUCUUCUGGACGUUUUAUAUUUCUAAUACAUAUGUAUGAAUUCCAU